GACGUAGGGCGCGAGCGUUGUCCGGAUUUAUUGGGCGUAAAGAGCUCGUAGGCGGUUUGUUGCGUCUAUCGUGAAAACCUGCAGCUUAACUGUGGGCUUGCGGUGGAUACGGGCAGACUUGAGUUCGGUAGGGGAGACUGGAAUUCCUGGUGUAGCGGUGAAAUGCGCAGAUAUCAGGAGGAACACCGGUGGCGAAGGCGGGUCUCUGGGCCGAUACUGACGCUGAGGAGCGAAAGCGUGGGGAGCGAACAGG
This 253-nucleotide ribosomal RNA is filed under the name uncultured bacterium. RNAcentral's name for it is "partial 16S ribosomal RNA". It matches the Rfam family "Bacterial small subunit ribosomal RNA", at positions 524 to 776 of the family's 1533-position model. The record is from RNAcentral.